Molecule: transfer RNA, 74 nt
Filed under: Apaloderma vittatum (bar-tailed trogon)
Lineage: Eukaryota; Metazoa; Chordata; Aves; Trogoniformes; Trogonidae
Rfam family: tRNA
About the family: Transfer RNA (tRNA) molecules are approximately 80 nucleotides in length. Their secondary structure includes four short double-helical elements and three loops (D, anti-codon, and T loops).
Source: Rfam by way of RNAcentral
GGUCACAGAGCUCAGCCAGUUGGAGCAUGGUGCUGCUAACACCAAGGUCGUGGGUUCAAUCCCCAUUCGGUCCC